Homo sapiens (human) is the source of this 554-nucleotide long non-coding RNA. RefSeq lists it as uncharacterized. Lineage: Eukaryota; Metazoa; Chordata; Mammalia; Primates; Hominidae. The record is from RefSeq and is a predicted model, not a curated record. The transcript is spliced from 2 exons.
CACUUCUCCUUCCUGCCACCAUGUGAAGAAGGACAUGUUUGCUUCCCUUCAGCCAGGAUUGCAAGCUUCCUGAGGCCUCCACAGCCCUGCGGAACUAAUCCCUGGUGGACUCUCGCAUUUGGUGGCAUUACCUGAUUAUCUGUGUGCCCACCAUGUAGCUCCUGGGCUCUCUGCCCACGGCUUGUUCUACAUCAGAAAGAGAAACUGCAAUGACCCCCUCCCUGCCCUCCGGAGCCUCCUUCACCAUCGAGGUGGCUUGGAAAACCCAGACGUAAAAGCUUUAAGGCAGAAGGGGGAAAGCACUGCGGUAAUAAGGAUGAAACUGCCCCCAGCAGGUGCUGGCAAAGUCAGCUCUCGGGGCCUUGUUCUUCCCGUUUGAUCACUGCUUCUCAGCCCUCUCCUCCUCCCACCUCUGCACCCACCCUGCCUCUCUCUCCUCUCUAUGGUCUUUGUUUUCCUCCCUCCCCUUCCCCAACACACAUCCAUGCAUGUUCACACACAUAGAUAAAGGUCUUGCCUUUCAAGGCAUUUAAAAUAAAGUUGGAAGAAAUAUA